This 254-nucleotide ribosomal RNA is filed under the name uncultured bacterium. RNAcentral describes it as "partial 16S ribosomal RNA". It matches the Rfam family "Bacterial small subunit ribosomal RNA", at positions 524 to 776 of the family's 1533-position model. The record is from RNAcentral.
UACGUAGGGUGCAAGCGUUGCCCGGAUUCAUUGGGCGUAAAGGGCGCGUAGGCGGCUUCGUGCGUCACGCGUGAAAUCGCUCGGCUCAACCGGGCGGGGUCGGGUGAUACGGCGAAGCUCGAGCAAGGUAGGGGGCCAUGGAAUUCCCGGUGUAGUGGUGGAAUGCGUAGAGAUCGGGAGGAACACCCGUGGCGAAGGCGGUGGCCUGGACCUGUUGCUGACGCUGAGGCGCGAAAGCGUGGGGAGCGAUCCGG